UUCAUACCUGAUAAUCAAUUUCAUGUGUUACAUUAAAAUAGUAACCCGAAAUGUUCCACUACAUAAGCCUCGGGAGAGGUUAUCGUCUUCCCAGGUUUCUCCAUUUGUUUCUCCAGCAUACUCUCUCCAUUUUUUUUAGUUUUGAUUAAAUUUGGAUUUGAUUGGUAAUCUUUCAAAAUCUCAGGGAUCAUCUAUCCUCAAUUGGUGUAUUUUGUUGGGAGUUAUAUUUGAUUGGUAUACAUGGAUUACAUCUUCAAUUUGAGGUUCUUAAUAUUUGGAUGUAUUUCUGCAGAAAUUUGUUGGUCUAUUGAGAACAUAGCUACCAUCUACCUCAGGCGAUGUUGAUCAAAUUCCACUUUUUGUAUAGAGAUUUUGGGGGCGAUUGGAAUCGUUGGAUUUUAUGCAGUUAAUGUAUAAGUAUUGGUCUCCUGACACAUUCUAAUUUUUGGAAUAUGAAACUGAGAACGUCUCACAAGUAUACAAGUUAUGAAUUUUUUACAUGUGAUGAAAGACUUCUACCCAAAAAAUGUCUUAGAUUGUCUUGGUCUGAGCAUCUGGUGGUUUUCAUACAAGGGAUCCAGAAUCACAAACCAAACACAUAACAUCAGUUGCAUACAAAAGUGUAUACAUUGCUCAGGUGGGACAUGUAUCGCUCCUUUUAUCCAGUAGGAGAGUACGUGUAACUGCCAGAACUAUCAGCAGUGGAAAAUUGUAGAGAGAAUUUUUUUCUCACCCGAUAGGAACCAACCAAUGUUUCGCGAAGAAGAUCAAUGUUCAUAUCCUUAAUGCAUUGAGAAGGAAGUCUACUCCUUAGUGCGUGCAUAUAACAAACAGGGAUGGUAUGACAAUGUCUUAGUUAGGAUCAAAUAAAAUUAAACUAUGAUAGUUAGGAAUAAGUAACAAAUUAAUGACAAAUUUAGUUUUAUUUGCUGAUUUUGCGAAGGUAUAUGAAAUCAUAUCCACUAUCUAUGGACCGUACUCUCGAUAUAAAACACAUCAUUUUU
Molecule: long non-coding RNA, 1004 nt
Organism: Papaver somniferum (opium poppy)
Lineage: Eukaryota; Viridiplantae; Streptophyta; Magnoliopsida; Ranunculales; Papaveraceae
Exons: 3
Source: RefSeq, a predicted model, not a curated record